RNAcentral lists this transfer RNA (50 nucleotides) under Hebesoma violentum. Its description in RNAcentral is "tRNA-Ile". Lineage: Eukaryota; Metazoa; Acanthocephala; Eoacanthocephala; Neoechinorhynchida; Neoechinorhynchidae. The record is from RNAcentral.
UAUCUCUGCCCCCGGUUCCGGUAUGAUUUGUUGAUAUUGCUUAGAUGGAA